AUUGAACGCUGGCGGCAUGCUUUACACAUGCAAGUCGAACGGUAACAGGGAGCUUGCUCCGCUGACGAGUGGCGAACGGGUGAGUAAUGCAUCGGAACGUACCCAGUCGUGGGGGAUAACGUAGCGAAAGUUACGCUAAUACCGCAUACGUCCUGAGGGAGAAAGCGGGGGACCGUAAGGCCUCGCGCGAUUGGAGCGGCCGAUGUCGGAUUAGCUAGUUGGUAGGGUAAAGGCCUACCAAGGCGACGAUCCGUAGCGGGUCUGAGAGGAUGAUCCGCCACACUGGGACUGAGACACGGCCCAGACUCCUACGGGAGGCAGCAGUGGGGAAUUUUGGACAAUGGGCGAAAGCCUGAUCCAGCCAUGCCGCGUGAGUGAAGAAGGCCUGGUGUAAAGCUCUUUCAGGUGG
RNAcentral lists this ribosomal RNA (409 nucleotides) under uncultured bacterium. RNAcentral's name for it is "bacterial SSU rRNA". It matches the Rfam family "Bacterial small subunit ribosomal RNA", at positions 30 to 443 of the family's 1533-position model. The record is from RNAcentral.